UGAGUAACCUGCCCUUAACUCUGGGAUAAGCCUGGGAAACUGGGUCUAAUACCGGAUAUGACUCCUCAUCGCAUGGUGGGGGGUGGAAAGCUUUUUGUGGUUUUGGAUGGACUCGCGGCCUAUCAGCUUGUUGGUGAGGUAAUGGCUCACCAAGGCGACGACGGGUAGCCGGCCUGAGAGGGUGACCGGCCACACGUGGGACUGAGACACGGCCCAGACUCCGUACGGGAGGCAG
Molecule: ribosomal RNA, 235 nt
Filed under: uncultured bacterium
Lineage: Bacteria
Description: partial 16S ribosomal RNA
Rfam family: Bacterial small subunit ribosomal RNA
Source: RNAcentral